CGCUGGCGGUGCGCCUUAUGCAUGCAAGUCGAGCGAAGCUUUUCAGUAGUUUACUACAGAAAAUGACUGAGCGGCGAACGGGUGAGUAACGCGUGAGCAAUCUACCUUAGUUACUGGGAUAGCCCGAGGAAACUCGGAUUAAUACCGGAUAAUCUUAUUACAUCACAUGAUAUUUUAAGUAAAGGUCAGCCGAACUAAGAUGAGCUCGCGUUCUAUCAGCUUGUUGGUGGGGUAAAAGCCUACCAAGGCUACGACGGAUAGCUGGUCUGAGAGGACGAUCAGCCACACUGGGACUGAGACACGGCCCAGACUCCUACGGGAGGCUGCAGCAGGGAAUAUUGCGCAAUGAGCGAAAGCUUGACGCAGCGACACCGCGUGUGGGAUGACGGUUCUAGGAUUGUAAACCACUUUCAGGAGGGAAGAAAAUGACGGUACCUCCACAAGAAGCCCCGGCCAACUACGUGCCAGCAGCCGCGGUAAUACGUAGGGGGCGAGCGUUGUCCGGAUUUAUUGGGCGUAAAGAGCUCGUAGGCGGUUCAACAAGUCGGUCGUGAAAGUUCAGGGCUUAACCCUGAAAUGUCGAUCGAUACUGUUGUGACUAGGAUAUGGUAGAGGUGAGUGGAAUUCCGAGUGUAGCGGUGAAAUGCGUAGAUAUUCGGAGGAACACCAAUAGCGAAGGCAGCUCACUGGACCACUAUCGACGCUGAGGAGCGAAAGCUAGGGGAGCAAACAGGAUUAGAUACCCUGGUAGUCCUAGCUGUAAACGAUGGAUACUAGAUGUAGGAAUUGGAUUGACGAUUUCUGUAUCGUAGCUAACGCGUUAAGUAUCCCGCCUGGGGAGUACGGU
RNAcentral lists this ribosomal RNA (847 nucleotides) under uncultured bacterium. RNAcentral describes it as "bacterial SSU rRNA". It matches the Rfam family "Bacterial small subunit ribosomal RNA", at positions 34 to 886 of the family's 1533-position model. The record is from RNAcentral.